GGUAAAAUGGCUGAAUGAUAGGCGAUAAAUUGUAAAUUUAUUUAUGAGAAAUAUUCUCUUUUACU
RNAcentral lists this transfer RNA (65 nucleotides) under Protohermes motuoensis. RNAcentral's name for it is "tRNA-Tyr". It matches the Rfam family "tRNA". Rfam says of the family: Transfer RNA (tRNA) molecules are approximately 80 nucleotides in length. Their secondary structure includes four short double-helical elements and three loops (D, anti-codon, and T loops). Further hydrogen bonds mediate the characteristic L-shaped molecular structure. tRNAs have two regions of fundamental functional importance: the anti-codon, which is responsible for specific mRNA codon recognition, and the 3' end, to which the tRNAs corresponding amino acid is attached (by aminoacyl-tRNA synthetases). tRNAs cope with the degeneracy of the genetic code in two manners: having more than one tRNA (with a specific anti-codon) for a particular amino acid; and 'wobble' base-pairing, i.e. permitting non-standard base-pairing at the 3rd anti-codon position. The record is from RNAcentral. Lineage: Eukaryota; Metazoa; Arthropoda; Insecta; Megaloptera; Corydalidae.